This is a long non-coding RNA of Photinus pyralis (common eastern firefly), 2194 nucleotides long. RefSeq lists it as uncharacterized. Lineage: Eukaryota; Metazoa; Arthropoda; Insecta; Coleoptera; Lampyridae. The record is from RefSeq and is a predicted model, not a curated record. The transcript has 3 exons.
UGAAAUAAUUUAGAAAAUCAUGAAACAACAAAAUUUUUGCUUACAAAUCAUACUGAAAUGAUAUUGAAAUUUUAAAUUUCUCACACAAUGGAUUGGUGUGUAUUACUUAAAAUGUCUAAAUGCCCGACUGACUACAAGACAUUUACAAUUCAGCGAUUAUUAUUAUUAUCCCUCUCUUGUUUUGGGCCCUCAACAGGCAUGUUCCGCGAUGCCAUGGAGACAAGGAGAUACCGUAAUUAUUUAGUCCGCCUACGACCGUUCCUGUUGGAAUUAUGUUUGUAACCACCGAUGAGUCUUGUCCUGGAGAAGAUGAAAAUUUUUUGGUUUCGGCGCCGUUAAUUGUUUAUGGACCGUUUUAGUUCUCCAUAAUAAGUAAAAGCAAUGGACGAACAAGUUCCGAAGCGAGAUGUUUUGCUCGUUAUCAGUUGGCGGCAUGCCUGUAAAAAUUAGAUAACCGCCAGCCGGCUUUGUGACCGAAAACGUGUAAUUAACAUAAAGCUAAUUAAUGUAAAGAGUUCAUGAGCUUCCAUUUGACCCUUCGAGUAUGUCUAAUUAGCAUGCACUAAUUAAACGAGUUGUAGUAAAGGAGCAUCUACCGACAUUUGGUGUCAAAUUGUUCGCGCUUAAUUAACAAAUCGAUUGCCAGAUGUUCGGGAAUUUUAGCACGAACAGGAACCCAGUAAUUAAUUAAAAAUCGAAUUGAUUGGUUUCGAUUUCGUAUUGAAUAAGCGACGAAUUGGAUUUUCCCUGUUCCACUUCUACCAAAUUGGGUUUUCUUUAUAAGGUAAACGCUCAAUUUUGGAAGCGUUCUACUUGCCGUAGAAUAUCUUUUGCCAUUUUUGGGUGCCGUAAGUAUGAUUGAUCUUUUGUUUGUACCGUUUUCCAUUUAAUUAUCAUUUUAUUUAGUUUUGACCUUAAGUUUAACGUACCGUUUCUUUUACUUAACUUUGCACCAUUUUGCCCGAAUUAAGGAAAAUUACCGUCAGGGCCAUAGGCCAUGCUUUGUUUUAGGAUUGCCGAAGUACCGUUGCCAUUUGCUGAACCUGACCGCAGAAUUGCUGGAGUUAACAAGUCCGAUUGAGGCUACCGAGACCGUAGGUCUUUACGUGAUUACCGCCGACCUCGUCCAGGCGCGAGAUUUUCGUCUGGUGGCACUCGAGUCCGUCCGUCCCCUGUACCGCCGUUUCGUCGACAACUGAUUACCGCCGACUACCGCUUGAAGAAUUACAACAUACUGUGCAUUAUAAUAGCCCAAGUUCGUCGGAAGUUUGUCUUCUGGAGAUAGCACAGAUUUUAAAUGUGAAACUAUUUUACCAAUUCGGUAAGGUAAAACGUCGAGUCAAACAGGCUCUGCGCCAAAGCCUAAGGCUGUGUCUGGGUCAUUGGCUCAGGGAGGCAACCCGAUGUCAGGGACCAAACCUCUCAGAUCGGAGGGAAGCACUCCAGAGUCUGGCUUAGGGCAACAUUGGAAGAAGCCUAGAGCGCUAAGGAUGGUCAUGGGGUCGGUAUCAAACCCAGAGGUGGACAUCAUUGAGCGCAAUCAAGAUGUAUUAUUGCUGCAUUGAAUGCAGUUGUCGACGAGAUGGAGGGAGGUUCCUUUCCUCGGCUGGCAAGAUUCCACUGGAAUCCGAAGGGUACCAUUGUGGCCGAAUGCUAGGGAAGGAGGUAACCUAGUAGAUCAAUGACGGACAAGCAACUACAUUGGAGAUCUAUCUCACAAAAACCAGUUGACUUUAGACAAAAAAAUUGCCAUAAAGUAUUCACCACCCUAAAACGCUCUCAUACUGAAAGCACUUCUCAGAGACUGAGCAGUAACAUUAAUACUGCAAUUUUUUCUGCUGAUUCCACUAAGGCAUGCAAGUACUUGCAGAAACAGUAUAAACCUGGAUGAGAUACGAUAAAUAGCUGAAUGGUCCAAGAAUUCGGAUUUGAUUAAUAUUACAAUACACCGAAUUAGCCAAAGUCAUUGUUUCAUGCCUUAAUUUAGGAAAUGUAUAUGUUAAAUAAGUGCAUUAUUUUCACUGCGAUGUUUGUAACAUACCAACAUACUGUUCUUUAAAAUAUAGGCUCGCAUAUAGGUUACCUAUAAUAGUUAAGCAAAUAUACCCUUGUUUUAAAAAUGUUUGCACUCUAGUUGUGGCAUUAUGAAGUUCAGUUCCAUUCGAGCCGAGGUUCCAUUGUUUAUUAUAAUAUU